UUGCUUGGGCAGCACAUGUACUAAAAUUGGAAUGACAUAGAGAAGAUUAGCAUGGCCCCUGUGCAUGGAUGAAUGCAAAUUUCUGAAGCAUUCUGUAUUUUU
Molecule: small nuclear RNA, 102 nt
Organism: Suricata suricatta (meerkat)
Lineage: Eukaryota; Metazoa; Chordata; Mammalia; Carnivora; Herpestidae
Source: Ensembl